Molecule: long non-coding RNA, 408 nt
Organism: Thunnus maccoyii (southern bluefin tuna)
Lineage: Eukaryota; Metazoa; Chordata; Actinopteri; Scombriformes; Scombridae
Exons: 4
Source: RefSeq, a predicted model, not a curated record
UUUUUCAACUUCCUGACUUGUCGCAGCAAAGCCUCUCUCUCCUUCAUCAGGCUGUCUUUGAAUCUGUAGACAUUAACACUGCCGUCAUCCCUGAAGGAGCAAACUACAAACUUUCCAGGAUCACCUUUCAAGCCUACAGGAGGGAUUUAAAGUCAGCAGAUUCAGGCAUGCAGCAGCUCGGAGGACGACUGCGUUUUUGCUGACUUACAAUUGCAGGUCCAAACUGUGUUUUUAUUCAAUCUUGAGACAACAGUUUGAGAUGAAGAUUUUGUCUGUGGGUUUGCAGAGCAGCUGGUGACAACUUCACUUGGCUUCACUCUGCUGGAGAUGAAACUCCUUCCUGCAGAGGAGAUGACUGCUGCUGUGGGCCUACCUGCCCAGCUCCGCCUGGAGGCUCUCUGUCAGUGC